This 414-nucleotide long non-coding RNA is filed under the name Heterocephalus glaber (naked mole-rat). RNAcentral describes it as "lncRNA (ENSHGLG00000041003.1)". The record is from RNAcentral. Lineage: Eukaryota; Metazoa; Chordata; Mammalia; Rodentia; Bathyergidae.
CUAAAUAGUGCCUUUAAAUCCAGCUUGAUGAACAAACUUCAAGCCUGGAAGGUUUUGGGCAGAGAUAAGUGUGAUGGCCACAAGCAAGCAUGGGACUGGGAAACCCUGGAUGAUGAUGUAAAGUGGAGCACCAGGACCAAUGAUGCAACACAGCAGCAGGACAGGCUCUGAGAUGCCUUGGUGUGGCUUGAUGACAUAGACAUGAAGCACCAAGAUUUGGAAGCUGCCACAUACAAUCCGAAGAAAGCUUUGCUGGCCUGGGGAUGUGCCAUCCAGAUGACAGGAUCCAGGGAACUGGCCUUUCUAUUUAACUCAAAGGAAAAAUGAACAGGUGCUACGGAUACUAACAGAGGGACAUGAUUUCCCUCAACAGUGAGAGCUGUCUCCUAGAUGACAACUAAAAACUAUCCAGAA